RNAcentral lists this ribosomal RNA (305 nucleotides) under uncultured bacterium. RNAcentral's name for it is "bacterial SSU rRNA". It matches the Rfam family "Bacterial small subunit ribosomal RNA", at positions 334 to 653 of the family's 1533-position model. The record is from RNAcentral.
AGUUCCUACGGGACGCAGCAGUGGGGAAUAUUGGGCAAUGGGCGCAAGCCUGACCCAGCAGUGCCGCGUGAAGGAAGAAGGCCUUCGGGUUGUAAACUUCUUUUAUCAGGGACGAAGGAUGUGACGGUACCUGAUGAAUAAGCUCCGGCUAACUACGUGCCAGCAGCCGCGGUAAUACGUAGGGGGCAAGCGUUAUCCGGAUUUACUGGGUGUAAAGGGCGCGUAGGCGGGAUGGCAAGUCAGAUGUGAAAUCCAAGGGCUCAACCCUUGAACUGCAUUGGAACCUACGGUGCUGGUGAAUGGGG